UNUGCUGUGAAAGGCUGGGGCUUAACCCUGGUUUUGCAGUGGGUACGGGCUAACUAGAGUGCAGUAGGGGAGACUGGAAUUCCUGGUGUAGCGGUGGAAUGCGCAGAUAUCAGGAGGAACACCGAUGGCGAAGGCAGGUCUCUGGGCUGUAACUGACGCUGAGAAGCGAAAGCAUGGGGAGCGAACAGGAUUAGAUACCCUGGUAGUCCAUGCCGUAACCGUUGGGCACUAGGUGUGGGGGACAUUCCACGUUUUCCGCGCCGUAGCUAACGCAUUAAGUGCCCCGCCUGGGGAGUACGGCCGCAAGGCUAAAACUCAAAGAAAUUGACGGGGGCCCGCACAAGCGGCGGAGCAUGCGGAUUAAUUCGAUGCAACGCGAAGAACCUUACCAAGGCUUGACAUAUACUGAACUGCGUCAGAGAUGGCGUUUCCCUUCGGGGCUGGUAUACAGGUGGUGCAUGGUUGUCGUCAGCUCGUGUCGUGAGAUGUUGGGUUAAGUCCCGCAACGAGCGCAACCCUCGUUCUAUGUUGCCAGCACGUGAUGGUGGGGACUCAUAGGAGACUGCCGGGGUCAACUCGGAGGAAGGUGGGGAUGACGUCAAAUCAUCAUGCCCCUUAUGUCUUGGGCUUCACGCAUGCUACAAUGGCCGGUACAGAGGGUUGCGAUACUGUGAGGUGGAGCUAAUCCCUAAAAGCCGGUCUCAGUUCGGAUUGGGGUCUGCAACUCGACCCCAUGAAGUCGGAGUCGCUAGUAAUCGCAGAUCAGCAACGCUGCGGUGAAUACGUUCCCGGGCCUUGUACACACCGCCCGUCAAGUCACGAAAGUUGGUAACACCCGAAGCC
RNAcentral lists this ribosomal RNA (843 nucleotides) under uncultured bacterium. Its description in RNAcentral is "bacterial SSU rRNA". It matches the Rfam family "Bacterial small subunit ribosomal RNA", at positions 588 to 1428 of the family's 1533-position model. The record is from RNAcentral.